AAGUCGUAACAAGGUUUCCGUAGGUGAACCUGCGGAAGGAUCAUUAAGGAGUAUUUGCGGGAAAUCGAAAGAAAGUACCGCUCUCCCACCCGUGACUAUAUACUAUGUUGCUUUCCGGGCUUAAACCCCCGGAGAGGACCAAACUCUUGAAUUUAUUACUGUCUGAGUACUAUAUAAUAGUUAAAACUUUCAACAACGGAUCUCUUGGUUCUG
RNAcentral lists this unclassified non-coding RNA (213 nucleotides) under Sirococcus sp. RNAcentral's name for it is "partial contains small subunit ribosomal RNA, internal transcribed spacer 1, and 5.8S ribosomal RNA". The stretch from base 1 to 46 matches the Rfam family "Eukaryotic small subunit ribosomal RNA", at positions 1786 to 1831 of the family's 1831-position model. The record is from RNAcentral. Lineage: Eukaryota; Fungi; Ascomycota; Sordariomycetes; Diaporthales.